Molecule: Y RNA, 98 nt
Organism: Callithrix jacchus (white-tufted-ear marmoset)
Lineage: Eukaryota; Metazoa; Chordata; Mammalia; Primates; Cebidae
Rfam family: Y RNA
About the family: Y RNAs are components of the Ro ribonucleoprotein particle (Ro RNP), in association with Ro60 and La proteins. The Y RNAs and Ro60 and La proteins are well conserved, but the function of the Ro RNP is not known. In humans the RNA component can be one of four small RNAs -- hY1, hY3, hY4 and hY5.
Source: Ensembl
GGCUUGUCCGAUGGUGGUGGGUUAUCAGAACUUAUUAUAACAUUAGGGUCACUAAAGUUGGUAUACAACCCCCCACUGCUAAAUUAGACUGGCUUAAA